This 442-nucleotide ribosomal RNA is filed under the name uncultured bacterium. Its description in RNAcentral is "bacterial SSU rRNA". It matches the Rfam family "Bacterial small subunit ribosomal RNA", at positions 338 to 795 of the family's 1533-position model. The record is from RNAcentral.
CCUACGGGAUGCACCAGUGGGGAAUUUUCCGCAAUGGGCGGAAGCCUGACGGAGCAAUGCCGCGUGGAGGUAGAAGGCCCACGGGUCGUGAACUUCUUUCCCCGGAGAAGAAGCAAUGACGGUAUCUGGGGAAUAAGCAUCGGCUAACCCUGUGCCAGCAGCCGCGGUAAUACAGAGGAUGCAAGCGUUAUCCGGAAUGAUUGGGCGUAAAGCGUCUGUAGGUGGCUUUUUAAGUCCGCCGUCAAAUCCCAGGGCUCAACCCUGGACAGGCGGUGGAAACUACCAAGCUGGAGUACGGUAGGGGGAGAGGGAAUUUCCGGUGGAGCGGUGAAAUGCGUAGAGAUCGGAAGGAACACCGGCGGCGAAAGCACUCUGCUGGGCCGACACUGACGCUGAGAGACGAAAGCUAGGGGAGCGAAUGGGAUUAGAUACCCCCGUAGUC